GGGAAGAAGAAAUUGUGACUGAGUGGCGGACGGGUGAGUAACGCGUGGGCAACCUGCCCCAUACAGGGGGAUAACAGCCGGAAACGGCUGCUAAAACCGCAUAAGCGCACAAGGGCCGCAUGGCCUGGUGUGAAAAACUCCGGUGGUAUGGGAUGGGCCCGCGUCUGAUUAGCUAGUUGGCGGGGGAGAGGCCCACCAAGGCGACGAUCAGUAGCCGACCUGAGAGGGUGGCCGGCCACAUUGGGACUGAGACACGGCCCAAACUCCUACGGGAGGCAGCAGUGGGGAAUAUUGCACAAUGGGGGAAACCCUGAUGCAGCGACGCCGCGUGAGCGAAGAAGUAUUUCGGUAUGUAAAGCUCUAUCAGCAGGGAAGAAAAAUGACGGUACCUGAGUAAGAAGCACCGGCUAAAUACGUGCCAGCAGCCGCGGUAAUACGUAUGGUGCAAGCGUUAUCCGGAUUUACUGGGUGUAAAGGGAGCGCAGGCGGUGCGGCAAGUCUGAUGUGAAAGCCCGGGGCUCAACCCCGGGACUGCAUUGGAAACUACCGAACUAGAGUGUCGGAGAGGUAAGUGGAAUUCCUAGUGUAGCGGUGAAAUGCGUAGAUAUUAGGAGGAACACCAGUGGCGAAGGCGGCUUACUGGACUGUAACUGACGUU
RNAcentral lists this ribosomal RNA (658 nucleotides) under uncultured bacterium. Its description in RNAcentral is "bacterial SSU rRNA". It matches the Rfam family "Bacterial small subunit ribosomal RNA", at positions 68 to 747 of the family's 1533-position model. The record is from RNAcentral.